RNAcentral lists this long non-coding RNA (3492 nucleotides) under Lupinus angustifolius (narrow-leaved blue lupine). RNAcentral's name for it is "long non-coding RNA (LANG_LNC001227)". Lineage: Eukaryota; Viridiplantae; Streptophyta; Magnoliopsida; Fabales; Fabaceae. The record is from RNAcentral.
ACUAGAUCUUGGGAUUUCAUUGAAUCAGAUUUGGGAAUGAAACAUAGUGACACUCCUACAUACCAACAACAUUUAUCAAGUGAUAUCAUUAUUGGUGUUAUUGACACUGGUAAGAGAUAACAAAAAAAUAAUAUCAAAGUAUAUAUUAAAUAAGAAUUUUAGCUAAUUAACCUAGUCUACCAUAUAUAAAAUUGGACAUAGCACUUCAUUUCUAUUAAGCAUCUUAACAUAGUUACUAGAAGCAUUAUGCACAUACUGUUUUUUAUCUUAUAACAGUUGAAGGAAACUAAUAACUUAGGCACCAGAUUUUUUUGUUCCAUAAUUUGUACCACUCCCUAUGCCAUAAGUUAUGAUUGGUUAGAAAAACAUUUAAUCAUUAAAUUUUAACUUAAAUACAUUUUUUACAAUUAAUCACAAACUCAUAGCACAUAGAGUGGUUCUCAUUGUGGAACAGUAGAUGUGCACCCAAUAACAUCAUAUGCAACUUAUAUAAUAUUACUGGUAUUGGAAAUUACUAUUGUCACUCUAAAUUAUCUAACAAUAUGAUUUUCAAUAAUAAUUUUGUGCAAAAUAGUCUCAAUGAAAACUGAGCUGUCACUACCCAUUCCCUGUGGUUGAGGCCAAUUGGCAGUUGCAGCAUCAACAUCUAUAGUAAUGGCAACUCAUUGUGGCCCUCAACUAGCUGUUAUGUUUGCUACCAACAUCUUUUUUGACAGAAAACAAGCACAAUAACUUUCAUUUAAACUAGUAUGACUUAUUCAGUAACCAAGAAAAGUAGAAAAAUAUCAGUAUAUGUCCAUUGAAACCUUUACUUUAUUAUCUUGGUGUAUUAUAUAACAUGGGUUUCUUUUAAGCAGUGUGCAUUUUUUAUGUUUAAAGCAGAGGAGAUCUGAGGUUAUCCUCUCAAAUGCAGACCUCUAGUGAUGCUCAUUGUUGUUACUAGCAUAGUCAAAACCAAAGAAUAGGGCAGAGGUGUAAUUUAAGUUAUAUCACCAUAACUGCAGAAGUCAUAGUUAAUUCCUCUCAAUUGCAAAUGCAAUAUGAUAAUAUAGUUUUUUUAUCAAAAGAAUACCCUACCAACAACUCUUCAGACCCUAUAAUGUUGAUCCCUUUAUAAAUCAAGUGGUUUGUUUGAAACUAACCUAAAAAAUUCCUCACACUUUCAACAAAGCUUUGAGAGGAAAUUCUCAAGGUACUGUUCUAGGCUCUAGCUAUAGUCAUCUCCAGCUGCAUAUAUUAGUUGAGGAAUGUUAACAAAUGACAUAAGGAUAUUGUUUAAAGAUUUAAGAAGAGGUAAUUUUGUAUUAAAAAACUAAUUCUGCACUGUUUCCAUCUCAUUGCUUGAAUAGAAUGUAAAGUUAGAUAGAGUGGCAUUGAGGUUUAGCAAGAUAUUGAGAGAGAAUGCAUAUCAAUAAGUAAAAUAUAAAAAGAGGGGAAACUACAAAGCAUUCUAUAAAAUUAGAAUAACAUGAUGUUGAAUAUUCCACAAUAUCAAAAUGAAGUCAGCACCUAGACUUUAUUUUGUGCUGUCACAGUUUUGCAAUGACUUUCCUGACUUUGAUACUCUAAACAACCUUGGUAAACUGCAUCUGUUACUAAUCCAUUAAGGAUCAACAAUUAUAAAGAUCUUAUUGUAACUUUGCAAGGUACAUACUAUUAUGAACACAUUUUGUAAAUAUUAUUCAAUCAUAUUAUGCCUAUGUCUAUUUUUCAUCAAGGAAUAUGGCCAGAGUCUCCAAGUUUUAGAGAUGAGGGUAUAGGAAAGAUUCCUUCAAGAUGGAAAGGAGUUUGCAUGGAGGGUCAUGAUUUCAAGAAAUCCAAUUGCAAUAGGUGAUCAAUCAUUCUCUUACAAAUGUUUUAAGAAAAAUCUUAUAUCUAUUUAUAACAUCUUUCAAUAAUCAUAUUUUGACACUAGCAAAUUUGUAAAUUGAUUAUACUCUACAUUAUAAUUCUCUUAGUACAACUGCAGAAAAUUGAUAGGUGCAAGAUACUAUAAUAACCAAUUUACAUCAAGUGGCAACCAGACUCUUACUAAAGAAGUUAGAAGUUCUCCCAGAGAUACUGUUGGACAUGGAACUCACACUGCAUCAACAGCAGCUGGUGCUCAUGUAAAAGAUGCUAGUUAUUAUGGUUUAGCACAAGGAAUAGCAAGAGGUGGUUCACCUUCUGCUAGGAUUGCUGCCUACAAAGCGUGCUCCGAAGGUGGCUGCUCCGGAGCAACCUUACUAAAGGCUAUUGAUGAUGCUAUUAAGGAUGGUGUAGAUAUAAUCUCAAUCUCUAUUGGACUUAGCUCACUUUUCCAAUCAGAUUUUUUAGAUGAUCCAAUAGCCAUUGGAGCAUUUCAUGCAGAACAGAUGGGGGUCAUGGUGGUAUGUUCUGCUGGGAAUGAUGGUCCUGAUCCCUACACAGUUGUGAACACAGCACCCUGGAUAUUUACAGUUGCAGCUUCUAAUAUUGAUAGGAACUUCUUAUCAACUAUUGUCCUUGGAAAUGGGAAAACUUUCCAAGUAAGUUUCUUUAUCAACACUUUCAAGCCAAAUAAAGUAGUAGAUUUCAUAGCAUAAUUUCUAAUAAUUUAUCUAAAACAUUAUUUUUCCUUUGUUUAUGUUGUUAGGGUACGGGCAUUAACUUCUCAAACCUCACACGUUCGAAGAUGUAUCCUCUUGUCUUUGGGGAGAAAGUUGCUGCCAAAUUUGCACCUGCCUCUGAAGCUAGGUACCUAGUUGGUAAUUGGGAUUAUUCAUAUCAUAUUAUGAGCAUCCUUUCCUUGUCUCAAAAUUUCAUGUCUACACUUUUACUUAUCAUUUCAUGUCUCACAAUCUUUUAAGUCUGUAAUGACCAAAGACUCGAAAUGACGUAUGUUAAACUUUUGCUGAAAUGCAGGAACUGUUACCCUGGAUCACUAGAUUAUAACAAGAUCGCAGGCCACAUUGUUGUUUGUGUUAAUGACGAUCCAACUAUUUCAAGGAAAAUCAAGAAGACACUCUUAAAAGAUGCAAGAGCCAUGGGGAUCGUACUCAUUGGUGAGGACAAUAAAGAUGUUCCCUUUGAUGCAGAUGUAUUUCCCUACUCACAGGUUGGAAAUCUUGAAGGGCAUCAGAUCCUUGAGUACAUAAACUCUACCAAGUAAGCAUUAUUAAACUUAACAUGUAUUAAUUAAUUAUUUAAAGUAGCUUUCAUGUUCUACUGGUUCUUUUAGUAGGAUUCAAACCUAGAUUAAAUUCUAACCACAUACUGAUUAGUGACUUAAAGUAGCUUUCAUGUUCUAUGUGCAAAGAAGAUGGUGGAUAAUAAUGUGCAGUUAAUUAAAGAGAUUGCAGCUGAUAUAAAAUGCAUGCUGUGCAUAAAUAAAUAGAAAAUGUUCUUCAUUCUUUGUUGAUUAGAAAAAGUUAAGAAAUAUCAUACUAGCUGUAUGCUCAGUCUGUCGUGCCUUCAUGACAGGAACUCGAGUGCAACGAUUCUUCCAACAAAAGAAGUUAAUGGAUAUAGGCC